RNAcentral lists this ribosomal RNA (254 nucleotides) under uncultured bacterium. RNAcentral's name for it is "partial 16S ribosomal RNA". It matches the Rfam family "Bacterial small subunit ribosomal RNA", at positions 524 to 776 of the family's 1533-position model. The record is from RNAcentral.
CACGUAGGGGGCAAGCGUUGUCCGGAUUUAUUGGGCGUAAAGAGCUCGUAGGCGGUUCGGUAAGUCGGGUGUGAAAUCUCCAGGCUCAACCUGGAGACGCCACCCGAUACUGCUGUGACUAGAGUCCGGUAGGGGAGCGUGGAAUUCCUGGUGUAGCGGUGAAAUGCGCAGAUAUCAGGAGGAACACCAGCGGCGAAGGCGGCGCUCUGGGCCGGAACUGACGCUGAGGAGCGAAAGCGUGGGGAGCAAACAGG